RNAcentral lists this ribosomal RNA (253 nucleotides) under uncultured bacterium. RNAcentral's name for it is "partial 16S ribosomal RNA". It matches the Rfam family "Bacterial small subunit ribosomal RNA", at positions 524 to 776 of the family's 1533-position model. The record is from RNAcentral.
AACGUAGGACGCAAGCGUUAUCCGGAGUUACUGGGCGUAAAGCGCACGUAGGCGGACCUGCAAGUCGGGGGUGAAAGCCCGAGGCUCAACCUCGGAACUGCCUUCGAUACUGCGGGUCUCGAGUCCGGGAGAGGUGAGUGGAAUUCCUAGUGUAGAGGUGAAAUUCGUAGAUAUUAGGAAGAACACCAGUGGCGAAGGCGGCAUCCUGGACCGACAUUGACGCUGAGGAGCGAAAGCCAGGGGAGCAAACGGG